This 497-nucleotide ribosomal RNA is filed under the name uncultured bacterium. Its description in RNAcentral is "partial 16S ribosomal RNA". It matches the Rfam family "Bacterial small subunit ribosomal RNA", at positions 899 to 1397 of the family's 1533-position model. The record is from RNAcentral.
ACUCAAAGGAAUAGACGGGGGCCCGCACAAGCGGUGGAGUAUGUGGUUUAAUUCGAAGCAACGCGCAGAACCUUACCUGGGCUUAACAUCCCUAGACAUCCGCAGAGAUGCGGCUUUCCCUUCGGGGACUAGGAGAUAGGUGCUGCAUGGCUGUCGUCAGCUCGUGUCGUAAGAUGUUGGGUUAAGUCCCGCAACGAGCGCAACCCUUGCCCUUAGUUGCCACCAUUAAGUUGGGCACUCUGAGGGGACCGCCGGUGUUAAACCGGAGGAAGGCGGGGAUGACGUCAAGUCCUCAUGGCCCUUACGUCCAGGGCUACACACGUACUACAAUGGCAGAGACAAUGGGUUGCGAAGCCGCGAGGUGAAGCUAAUCCCAAAAACACUGUCUCAGUCCGGAUUGAAGUCUGCAACUCGACUUCAUGAAGCUGGAAUCGCUAGUAAUCGCAGAUCAGCACGCUGCGGUGAAUACGUUCCCGGGCCUUGCACACACCGCCCGU